GUCUACAGCCAUGUCACCCUAAACGUGCCCGAUCUCAUCUGAUCUCGGAAGCUAAGCAGGUUCGGGCCUGGUUAGUACUUGGAUGGGAGACUACCUAAAAAAACCAAGGGCGGUAGGCA
This 119-nucleotide ribosomal RNA is filed under the name Pteropus alecto (black flying fox). Lineage: Eukaryota; Metazoa; Chordata; Mammalia; Chiroptera; Pteropodidae. The record is from RNAcentral.